UACAGAGGGUGCGAGCGUUGUCCGGAAUCACUGGGCGUAAAGGGCGCGUAGGUGGCGCGACAAGUCAGUGGUGAAAGCUCGAUGCUUAACAUCGAGUCGGCCACUGAUACUGUUGGGCUUGAGCACUGUAGAGGCUAAUGGAAUUCCGGGUGUAGCGGUGGAAUGCGUAGAGAUCCGGAAGAACACCGGUGGCGAAGGCGGUUAGCUGGGCAGUUGCUGACGCUGAGGCGCGAAAGCGUGGGGAGCAAACAGG
RNAcentral lists this ribosomal RNA (253 nucleotides) under uncultured bacterium. RNAcentral's name for it is "partial 16S ribosomal RNA". It matches the Rfam family "Bacterial small subunit ribosomal RNA", at positions 524 to 776 of the family's 1533-position model. The record is from RNAcentral.